Molecule: transfer RNA, 71 nt
Filed under: bacterium
Lineage: Bacteria
Description: tRNA-His
Rfam family: tRNA
About the family: Transfer RNA (tRNA) molecules are approximately 80 nucleotides in length. Their secondary structure includes four short double-helical elements and three loops (D, anti-codon, and T loops).
Source: RNAcentral
GUGGCUAUAGUUCAGUGGCAGAACACUGGUUUGUGGAAUCGGUUGCGGGAGUUCGAUUCUCCUUAGCCACC